Molecule: ribosomal RNA, 253 nt
Filed under: uncultured bacterium
Lineage: Bacteria
Description: partial 16S ribosomal RNA
Rfam family: Bacterial small subunit ribosomal RNA
Source: RNAcentral
UACGAAGGGUGCAAGCGUUGCUCGGAAUUAUUGGGCGUAAAGGGUAGGUAGGUGGUCUUACAAGUCUGGGGUGAAAGCCCUGAGCUCAACUCAGGAAGUGCCUUGGAAACUGUAAGACUGGAGUAUCGGAGAGGGUCGUGGAAUUCCCGGUGUAGCGGUGAAAUGCGUAGAGAUCGGGAGGAACAUCAGAGGCGAAGGCGACGACCUGGACGAUUACUGACACUAAACUACGAAAGCGUGGGGAGCAAACAGG